This is a long non-coding RNA of Pseudopipra pipra, 2490 nucleotides long. RefSeq lists it as uncharacterized. The record is from RefSeq and is a predicted model, not a curated record. NCBI's taxonomy places the organism in Eukaryota, Metazoa, Chordata, Aves, Passeriformes, Pipridae. The transcript has 7 exons.
UACCCAUCAGUCCGCGGCCCCGCCAGUCCCGCCCCCGGCCGUCCCGGCGCAUGAGUGGCUGUGCCCCCGCCGGCGGCGGGCGCUCCGCUCCUCGCACGGGCCGGCCGAGCUGUCCCUCAGCGCGGGGUGUGGAGGGGCGGCGGCGGCGCGGGCCGCGCUUGCCGGGGAGUCCGGAGGCGGUGCUGACGGGACGGCGCGCGGAGGCGCUGCGGGCCGCUCCCGACCUGCGCCAGCCCGGCUGGGCUCGGCUCGGCUCAGCCUAGCUCGGCUCAGCUCAGCCUAGCUCAGCUCGGCUCAGCUCGGCUCAGCCCGGCCCGGCCCGAGGUGAGGCAGCGGGGCCGCGGGUCUGACCGCGGGGCGCGGCGACGGCGCUGCCCUGCGCACUGGGGCGCCCCCUGACGGGCGGGGCCGGGUCCCCGAGACAGCGGGACAGGGGGACAGCGGGACACGGGACAGCGGGACACGGGACAGCGGGACACGGGACACCGGGACACCGACCCCGCUCCAGUCGCGGGAGACGCGUUCGGAAGAAGAGGGAGAAGCAGAAGUUUUAACCAUCUUCCCAUGGCAUCUGACUUUUUUGAGGAAGGAGGUGCUGCAGCAUGGUGGGAGCUCCUGUAGCUGGAAUCUGGCCUCCCGUGUGGGUGUUAGAGAAUGCACCCAAGAGCAGAAGCAGUGAGGUUCACAGUGGGGAAAAUGAACCCAGCAGUCCAUCCUAUCCCAUACCUGCCUGAGUAUGGGAAGAGACCUCAUACAAGCCAGAAUGCAUCUGGGCUUGCAGCUCUUUUUAAUCAUAUUAAGUCCUGUUCAGAGUUAAUGGUGAGCUCAGUGAGAUGAGAUGGUCUCAGCAAUGCUGAAGAAGAGAUGAAGAGAAUUGGAAGGCAGAGCUAUUUCAAAACAGGAUUCUUCUUCUUUCCAUAAUGCCCAAACAUGAAGACUUUUAAACUUCUUUAGGUAUGGCAUCAUUUGAAUUCAUUCGGUAUGAUGAUUGCAGUGACCUGUCAUAUUUAUUUUGAUGUCCCUUCGAAGGACCAUAUGCUCUGUCCUCAGCAUGAAAAAUGAUGCAAGUUGCUCAGUGAAAGGCAGCGCUGCUCCUGUAGGGAUGAAGACCCUCACUUCCCGUUCUCACAUCAGUGGAUGUACAGCUACACUACAGUAGAGAAGAUCCUGCCAUCAAUGACUGAGCCUCCCUGAAAUCUUCUUAUCAGUUACUGCCAAGAUGAGAAGGAUAACAGGAAGGAGGAGUGCUUAAGUGGCUUUAAUGACAGUUAAUUUCAUCUAUUUAUCAAAUGACAGGUUGUUUUUUCCUCAAAACUCGAUUGUCAUGACAAGAUGCUUUUGCAAGUCAUCUUUGUAAAAUAAAACUGACAAUUUUUAGGCUACAAAGAGCUAUUGUAUCUUUCUAUACAAUGUUGUCAUUAUGGUAAACCUCUGGAAAGUCUUUAUUUUUGAAGUAAUUUAACUUGCAUACUUCAUUCAUUUAUUUGAAUGUCUGUUGAAUGCUAUGUGAAAAGUUUCUUGCCAGAGUUCUUUUAUUCAAUGGAAUAGUUAUUCUUACAAUGCUCAAUUUAUUAUUGUCUAAAUUACUGUUGCCUUAGCCUCCUGCAAAAAUGUUUCUUUUUGGUAAUUCUUAAACAAAUAAGGAAUGAAUGAGGUUUUGUCCCCCUCGUGUUUUGAUCAGCGUAUUUUGCCUUUCAGUAAAAGUGUCUUCAGUUUUCAAAAUGACACAAAGAAAGGUGCUUUCCUAUUUCCCCCCAACAGAACAUCUUUUGUGCAAUAAUUUUUUUAAUAUGUACACUGCCAAGAUGCAAUUACUGGAAGGAGAGAGAGAAGCUGUUGGGAUUGUCAUGUUAUGCCAAAUUAAGAAUUAUUAGCUCUUACUUUCUCUGCAAUCUCUUCGACUAGAACCUGACCUAUUGCGUCUGGCAUAUACUUUGGCUCAAGUGGAACUAAUGUGUCCUUGGAGUAGCAUUUUAGAGUUACUUCAGAUUCAUGUUUUUUUCACAAGUCUGCUUUAAACUGGUGGGAUUAACUUCAGAGAAGGCAAGAGAUACAGCCUCCUUUGUCAGCAGCUGUGCUGGUUAAAGAAGGAGGCUUCUUGCACGCUUGCUUGCUCGCUCUCUCCAGGAGGUUAUUGCCCCUGCUAGGGAAGCAAACUGAACUGCUUCCCUGAGCACACUCAGACUCAUUUCAGCCAAAGUUAAUCGUGUCAUCAAAUAUUAGUUAUCUAUCACCCUGGGUCACUUUGAUGAAAGGGCAGGGAAUACACAGACCAGCUGUGAGGACGGUGUGUCUGGGAAGGGUGGUGUGUUGACAAGAGGGUUGUUGAGGACUGGUCCUGGUGUAGCCUUUUCAGCAGGUGCAGUUUGCAUCUCUCGGCUGUUGUAAAAAUUGGACGUGUUAGAAAGCUGUGCAGUUAUGUCAUGUAUAAUAUUCACAUUUCAUGGAUAUCUUGGAUAAUACAAAAUAAACCUGUGCUUUUUGACUUAC